Molecule: ribosomal RNA, 320 nt
Filed under: uncultured eukaryote
Lineage: Eukaryota
Description: partial 18S ribosomal RNA
Rfam family: Eukaryotic small subunit ribosomal RNA
Source: RNAcentral
CCCCUAGAUGUUCUGGGCCGCACGCGCGCUACACUGAACAGUUCAACAAGUCUUAACCUUGGCCGAUAGGUCUGGGUAAUCUUUGAACGCUGUUCGUGAUUGGGAUAGACCUUUGCAAUUAUGGGUCUUCAACGAGGAAUUCCUAGUAAACGCAAGUCAUCAGCUUGCAUUGAUUACGUCCCUGCCCUUUGUACACACCUCCCGUCGCACCUACCGAUUGAAUGGUCCGGUGAAAUCUCGGGACGGCGGCUUGGUCGCUUGCGUCCGACUGCUGAAACUUGAUUAAACCAUAUCAUUUAGAGGAAGGUGAAGUCGUANCA